GACAGAGGGUGCAAACGUUGCUCGGAAUCACUGGGCGUAAAGGGCGUGUAGGCGGGAAGGAUAGUCAGAUGUGAAAGCCCUGGGCCCAACCCAGGAACUGCAUUUGAAACUCCCUUUCUUGAGUGUCGGAGAGGAAAGCGGAAUUCCUGGUGUAGAGGUGAAAUUCGUAGAUAUCAGGAGGAACACCGGUGGCGAAGGCGGCUUUCUGGACGACAACUGACGCUGAGACGCGAAAGCGUGGGGAGCAAACAGG
This 253-nucleotide ribosomal RNA is filed under the name uncultured bacterium. RNAcentral describes it as "partial 16S ribosomal RNA". It matches the Rfam family "Bacterial small subunit ribosomal RNA", at positions 524 to 776 of the family's 1533-position model. The record is from RNAcentral.